UGGAAUGCGAGGAUGCAAGCCGCUGCCAGCCUAAACCGAGCGCCGUCGGCUGUUGUGGUCUGGCGAAGAGCGGACGUCGUCUAGGACGAUCCCAGGUAAGAGCCGAAGGGAAUGAUUCCAUGUAGCAUUCGUUGUGUGCAGGAAAGAAAUCGGAAAAGAAGCACCUUGUUUCUUGUCGAUCUUUGAUUUCGUUCCUAAUCCUUCCCUCGUUCUUGGUAUUCUGAAGGCUAACGGCUCUGGAAGAUGGAAUUGAAGAUCUUCUGAGUUGAUGUCGCUCUCCUUUGGAUUUCUUUUCUGUCAAGAGUGUUGCAGGCACGGCGGCCUGGCCGGCGGCGUCGGAGUCCGUUGCGAUCCAGGGCCAUUGAGUUCGUGGAAUAGCCCUCGCCUCUGUGCGUGCGUAACUGCCGUCUCGGGCAUGGCCCUUUUCUUUCGCUGUACGCCGAUAGAAU
RNAcentral lists this long non-coding RNA (449 nucleotides) under Triticum aestivum (bread wheat). RNAcentral describes it as "long non-coding RNA (TAES_LNC006930)". The record is from RNAcentral. Lineage: Eukaryota; Viridiplantae; Streptophyta; Magnoliopsida; Poales; Poaceae.